This 484-nucleotide ribosomal RNA is filed under the name uncultured bacterium. RNAcentral's name for it is "partial 16S ribosomal RNA". It matches the Rfam family "Bacterial small subunit ribosomal RNA", at positions 30 to 507 of the family's 1533-position model. The record is from RNAcentral.
AUUGAACGCUGGCGGCAGGCCUAACACAUGCAAGUCGAGCGGAUGAAGGGAGCUUGCUCCUGGAUUCAGCGGCGGACGGGUGAGUAAUGCCUAGGAAUCUGCCUGGCAGUGGGGGAUAACGUCCGGAAACGGGCGCUAAUACCGUAUACGUCCUGAGGGAGAAAGUGGGGGAUCUUCGGACCUCACGCUAUCAGAUGAGCCUAGGUCGGAUUAGCUAGUUGGUGGGGUAAAGGCCUACCAAGGCGACGAUCCGUAACUGGUCUGAGAGGAUGAUCAGUCACACUGGAACUGAGACACGGUCCAGACUCCUACGGGAGGCAGCAGUGGGGAAUAUUGGACAAUGGGCGAAAGCCUGAUCCAGCCAUGCCGCGUGUGUGAAGAAGGUCUUCGGAUUGUAAAGCACUUUAAGUUGGGAGGAAGGGCAGUAAGUUAAUACCUUGCUGUUUUGACGUUACCAACAGAAUAAGCACCGGCUAACUUCGUG